GCUUCUCCAGCUCUAGCUCAACUGAGUCCAAAGGUCUGAUCAGCGUUUCCAGUGACACAAGCCAGCAACUCUGACGUCUGCGAGCUGGAGCUCCACCCCAGGCAGGAGGCGGGAACUGACCAGUCUCUGCUCCAGGCGUUUUCGUUGCUGGGGCUUCCUUCCUUCCCUUAAACUUCAAAUGCCUUGAAAUAGUAGAAACGUCUGUUUAUUUAGUAGCUCUUUACUGAAAGGCAUUCUCUGCAGAACAUAGGCUAUGUCACUCAAUUGGUCCAGGACAGGGAAAGACAAUUUCUGAUUAGGGGUAUUAGGAAGGCUUUCUGGACUGCAACGGAGUCCCCCUGGGUGGGGUAAAUGGUUAAGCUCUAUGAGUCAAAAUAGACUGGACAAAAAAACAAAUCCAUUGCUGAGGAGUCAGUUCUGACUCAUGGCAAUCCAUGUGUUACCAAGUGGACCUGCACUCCACAGGGCGUUCAAGGCUGUGACCUUUUGGCAGCAGAUUGGCAGGUCUUUUUUCCGUGAUACUACUGGUUGGUAGUGACGUGCAAAGCAUUUGCACCACCUAGGGACCUACUGACUUGACAGCAACUGGUUUUUUGGUUUUCUGGAUGGUGUGGUUUCAGAGUUUUGCUUUGAAUGACAAAGGGGAUUUCUAUAGGUGGAAACUGGGGAGGGGGAGAGAGGGGGUCUUCUUGGAAGGGGAUACUAUGAGGGAAGGUGGUGGGGCCUCGGUUUAGCCGUUUACUCUCUUUGGGUCUCAAUUUCUUCACCUGCAGAACUGCUGUGAGACAGGCGUGAUAUGUGUGAAGGUGCCUUGUGAAUUGUGAAGGUUUCAGUGUGAGGGAAGGUCAAGAAGAGGAGUCUGGACACCACCCUGUGGACGGGUUUUAGGCUCUGUCAAGUAUGCUACUAUAAAAAGCUACAGACUACAUCUCACAGACUUUGGACAUGUUAUCAGGAGGGAUCAGUCCCUGGAGAAGGACAUCACGGUUGGUAAAGCACAGGGUCAGCAAAAAAGAGGAAGACUCUCAACGAAAUGGAUUGACACAGUGGCUGCAACAAUGGGUUCAAGCAUAACAACAAUUGUGAGGAUGGCGCAGGACCAGCACUUGGCACUGUGCUUUGCAACUGCAGUCCUAAGACGUCGCGGGGAAUCUCGUGGAGAGAAGAGCCCUUUGGAGACGCCUCUGCAGGCAAACCCGACUGGCCCUUCCAGUGCAUGUUCCGACCCAGGCACAGAGGGCGAACCAAGAAGCUGGGGAAACAGCGGGACCGGCCUCGCCCCACCCAGCGCCUCAGUCCCAGCGGCAGUCAGGCCUGCGCAGGCGCAGUGGCUCGCCGAGCGCGUGACGCCAGCGCCUUUGGCUCGAGGACCGCACCGCCCACGGCUCGAGCGGGCGGGGUUGCCGGCGCGUGGGCGGGGACAACGCUGUUCUCGCUCGCUUAUUGGUCCCCCUGCUGACGGACAGGUAGGGCCAGAUGGAUGGAGAAGCAGCUUAGUCAGAAAGAGCUGGUGGUGC
Molecule: long non-coding RNA, 1517 nt
Organism: Loxodonta africana (African savanna elephant)
Lineage: Eukaryota; Metazoa; Chordata; Mammalia; Proboscidea; Elephantidae
Exons: 3
Source: RefSeq, a predicted model, not a curated record